CAGAAUACAUGAUGAUCUCAUUGCAACUUGAACUCUCUCACUGAUCAUUUGAUGAUUUUAAAAGAUCUGAUAUUCUG
Vulpes vulpes (red fox) is the source of this 77-nucleotide small nucleolar RNA. Its record names the gene SNORD81. It matches the Rfam family "Small nucleolar RNA SNORD81". Rfam says of the family: U81 is a member of the C/D class of snoRNA which contain the C (UGAUGA) and D (CUGA) box motifs. U81 acts as a guanine methylation guide and is found in intron 11 of the gas5 gene in mammals. The record is from Ensembl. Lineage: Eukaryota; Metazoa; Chordata; Mammalia; Carnivora; Canidae.